GAUGAAGAACGCAGCGAAAUGCGAUAAGUAAUGUGAAUUGCAGAAUUCAGUGAAUCAUCGAAUCUUUGAACGCACCUUGCACCCUUUGGUAUUCCGAAGGGUAUGCUCGUUUGAGUGUCAUUGUACUCUCACACUUCUAAUUCCUUACGGGAUUGGGAGCGGUGGACUUGGGUGUUGCUGCUUUAGUUGUGGCUCACCUCAAAUAAGUUAGUGCAACUCUUGGUUGGACAUAGUACGGCGUGAUAAGUGUCUUCGCCGGCGCCUCUGUAAGGAGGGUGGCCGAUCGGGAGCUCUGUGCUUCAAACCGUCUUCGGACAAUCUUUGACAACUUGACCUCAAAUCGAGUAGGACUACCCGCUGAACUUAAGCAUAUCAAUAAGCGGAGGA
Molecule: unclassified non-coding RNA, 387 nt
Filed under: soil metagenome
Description: partial contains 5.8S ribosomal RNA, internal transcribed spacer 2, and large subunit ribosomal RNA
Rfam family: 5.8S ribosomal RNA (bases 1-120)
Source: RNAcentral